Molecule: small nuclear RNA, 145 nt
Organism: Hibiscus syriacus
Lineage: Eukaryota; Viridiplantae; Streptophyta; Magnoliopsida; Malvales; Malvaceae
Product: U4 spliceosomal RNA
Exons: 1
Source: RefSeq, a predicted model, not a curated record
AGCUUUGCGCUGGGCGCAAUGACGCAACUCAUGAGGUUCUAACCGAGGCGCAUCAAUUGCUAGUUGAAAAUUAUUUUCAAUCGAGCUUGAAUUGAGCUUAAAAUCGAGCUUGAGUUUUAAUUGAGCUUUUGAAAUUUUCUUGAGU